This 443-nucleotide ribosomal RNA is filed under the name uncultured bacterium. RNAcentral's name for it is "partial 16S ribosomal RNA". It matches the Rfam family "Bacterial small subunit ribosomal RNA", at positions 338 to 795 of the family's 1533-position model. The record is from RNAcentral.
CCUACGGGUGGCAGCAGUGGGGAAUAUUGGGCAAUGGGCGCAAGCCUGACCCAGCAACGCCGCGUGAAGGAAGACGGCUUUCGGGUUGUAAACUUCUUUUCUGAGGGACGAAGAAAGUGACGGUACCUCAGGAAUAAGCCACGGCUAACUACGUGCCAGCAGCCGCGGUAAUACGUAGGUAGCAAGCGUUAUCCGGAUUUAUUGGGUGUAAGGGGCGUGUAGGCGGGAAAGCAAGUUAGAUGGGAAAACCCAGGGCCCAACCCUGAGCCUGCAGUUGAAACUGUUUUUCUUGAGUGCUGGAGAGGCAAGCGGAAUUCCGUGUGUAGCGGUGAAAUGCGUAGAUAUACGGAGGAACACCAGUGGCGAAGGCGGAUUGCUGGACAGUAACUGACGCUGAGGCGCGAAAGCGUGGGGAGCAAACAGGAUUAGAUACCCUUGUAGUC